UACGAACCGUCCAAACGUUAUUCGGAUUUAUUGGGCUUAAAGGGUAUGUAGGCGGCCCUUCAAGUCGGGUGUGAAAGCCCUCGGCUCAACCGAGGAACUGCGCCCGAUACUGUGGGGCUUGAGGGAGACAGAGGUAAGCGGAACUGAUGGUGGAGCGGUGAAAUGCGUUGAUAUCGAGAGGAACACCUGCGGCGAAGGCGGGUUGCUGGGCUGACACUGACGCUGAGGCGCGAAAGCUAGGGGAGCGAACGGG
This 253-nucleotide ribosomal RNA is filed under the name uncultured bacterium. RNAcentral's name for it is "partial 16S ribosomal RNA". It matches the Rfam family "Bacterial small subunit ribosomal RNA", at positions 524 to 776 of the family's 1533-position model. The record is from RNAcentral.